GGAAUAUUGGUCAAUGGGCGCAAGCCUGAACCAGCCAAGUAGCGUGCUGGAUGACUGCCCUAUGGGUUGUAAACUGCUUUUAUACGGGGAUAAAGUCAGGGUCGUGACCUUGUUUGCAGGUACCGUAUGAAUAAGGACCGGCUAAUUCCGUGCCAGCAGCCGCGGUAAUACGGAAGGUCCAGGCGUUAUCCGGAUUUAUUGGGUUUAAAGGGAGCGCAGGCUGAUUGUUAAGCGUGACGUGAAAUGUAGCCGCUCAACGGCUGCACUGCGUCGCGAACUGGCAGUCUUGAGUGAGUACGACGUCAGCGGAAUUCGUGGUGUAGCGGUGAAAUGCUUAGAUAUCACGAAGAACCCCGAUUGCGAAGGCAGCUGACGAGUCCUUUACUGACGCUAAAGCUCGAAGGUGCGGGUAUCGAACA
This 419-nucleotide ribosomal RNA is filed under the name uncultured Prevotella sp. RNAcentral's name for it is "bacterial SSU rRNA". It matches the Rfam family "Bacterial small subunit ribosomal RNA", at positions 358 to 774 of the family's 1533-position model. Lineage: Bacteria; Pseudomonadati; Bacteroidota; Bacteroidia; Bacteroidales; Prevotellaceae. The record is from RNAcentral.